This 377-nucleotide ribosomal RNA is filed under the name uncultured bacterium. Its description in RNAcentral is "bacterial SSU rRNA". It matches the Rfam family "Bacterial small subunit ribosomal RNA", at positions 521 to 896 of the family's 1533-position model. The record is from RNAcentral.
UAAUACGUAGGGGUCGAGCGUUGUCCGGAGUUACUGGGCGUAAAGCGCGUGCAGGUGGCUCAUUACGCCCGGCGUGAAAGCCCCCGGCUCAACCGGGGAGGGUCGUCGGGGACGGGUGAGCUUGAGGGUAGCAGGGGCUGGUAGAAUUCCCGGUGUAGUGGUGAAAUGCGUAGAGAUCGGGAGGAAUACCCGUGGCGAAGGCGGCCAGCUGGGCUACACCUGACACUGAGACGCGAAGGCGUGGGGAGCGAACGGGAUUAGAUACCCCGGUAGUCCACGCAGUAAACGAUGCAGACUAGGCGUGGGGGGACUUGACCCCUUCCGUGCCGAAGCUAACGCAUGAAGUCUGCCGCCUGGGGAGUACGGCCGCAAGGCUA